AACGAACGCUGGCGGCAGGCUUAACACAUGCAAGUCGAACGCCCCGCAAGGGGAGCGGCAGACGGGUGAGUAACGCGUGGGAACGUACCUUGCAGUUCGGAAUAACUCAGGGAAACUUGUGCUAAUACCGGAUACGCUCGAAAGAGGAAAGAUUAAUCGCUGAAAGAUCGGCCCGCGUUGGAUUAGCUAGUUGGUGGGGUAAUGGCCUACCAAGGCGACGAUCCAUAGCUGGUCUGAGAGGAUGAUCAGCCACACUGGGACUGAGACACGGCCCAGACUCCUACGGGAGGCAGCAGUGGGGAAUAUUGGGCAAUGGGCGAAAGCCUGAUCCAGCCAUGCCGCGUGAGUGAUGAAGGCCCUAGGGUUGUAAAGCUCUUUCACCGAUGAAGAUAAUGACGGUAGUCGGAGAAGAAGCCCCGGCUAACUUCGUGCCAGCAGCCGCAGUA
This 446-nucleotide ribosomal RNA is filed under the name uncultured bacterium. RNAcentral describes it as "partial 16S ribosomal RNA". It matches the Rfam family "Bacterial small subunit ribosomal RNA", at positions 29 to 522 of the family's 1533-position model. The record is from RNAcentral.